CACGUAGGAGGCGAGCGUUGUCCGGAAUCAUUGGGCGUAAAGAGCGCGCAGGCGGCUUGGCAAGUCGGGUGUGAAAUCCCGGGGCUCAACCCCGUGACUGCAUUCGAUACUGUCAGGCUAGAGGUAGGUAGGGGAGAUCGGAAUUCCUGGUGUAGCGGUGAAAUGCGUAGAUAUCUGGAGGAAUACCGGUGGCGAAGGCGGCAUCCUGGACCGGCAUUGACGCUGAUGAGCGAAAGCUAGGGGAGCAAACGGG
RNAcentral lists this ribosomal RNA (253 nucleotides) under uncultured bacterium. Its description in RNAcentral is "partial 16S ribosomal RNA". It matches the Rfam family "Bacterial small subunit ribosomal RNA", at positions 524 to 776 of the family's 1533-position model. The record is from RNAcentral.